AACGAACGCUGGCGGCAGGCUUAACACAUGCAAGUCGAACGGGUGUAGCAAUACAUCAGUGGCAGACGGGUGAGUAACACGUGGGAACCUUCCUAGAGGUACGGAACAACGCAGGGAAACUUGCGCUAAUACCGUAUACGCUCUUGCGAGGAAAGAUUUAUCGCCUUUAGACGGGCCCGCGUCGGAUUAGCUAGUUGGUAAGGUAACGGCUUACCAAGGCGACGAUCCGUAGCUGAUCUGAGAGAAUGAUCAGCCACACUGGGACUGAGACACGGCCCAGACUCCUACGGGAGGCAGCAGUGGGGAAUCUUGGACAAUGGGCGCAAGCCUGAUCCAGCCAUGCCGCGUGAGUGAAGAAGGCCUUCGGGUUGUAAAGCUCUUUUGUCAGGGACGAUAAUGACGGUACCUGAAGAAUAAGCCCCGGCAAACUUCGUG
Molecule: ribosomal RNA, 435 nt
Filed under: uncultured bacterium
Lineage: Bacteria
Description: bacterial SSU rRNA
Rfam family: Bacterial small subunit ribosomal RNA
Source: RNAcentral